GUUGGGGCAUGGUGGUGUGCACCUAUAGUCCCAGCUACUCGGGAGGCUGAGGUAGGAGGAUCGCUUGAGCCCAGCAGUUCUGACCUGUAGUGUGUUAUGCCAGUUGGGUGUCUGCACUAAGUUUGGCAUCAACAUGGUGACCUCUCAGAAGUGGGGGACCACCAGGUUGCUUAAGGAGGCGUGAACAGGCCCAGGUUGGAAACAGAGCAGGUCAAAACUCUCAUACUGAUCAAUUAUUCUUAAGGUCUGUUGGUUGAGGUAUCCUGGUUAAAAUAAUUACUUGGUUUUC
This 289-nucleotide signal recognition particle RNA is filed under the name Pteropus alecto (black flying fox). RNAcentral describes it as "Metazoan signal recognition particle RNA". It matches the Rfam family "Metazoan signal recognition particle RNA". Rfam says of the family: The signal recognition particle (SRP) is a universally conserved ribonucleoprotein. Lineage: Eukaryota; Metazoa; Chordata; Mammalia; Chiroptera; Pteropodidae. The record is from Rfam by way of RNAcentral.